This 105-nucleotide small nucleolar RNA is filed under the name Drosophila willistoni. RNAcentral's name for it is "snoRNA:GK26625". It matches the Rfam family "Small nucleolar RNA Me28S-Am2589". Rfam says of the family: Me28S-Am2589 is a member of the C/D class of snoRNA which contain the C (UGAUGA) and D (CUGA) box motifs. Lineage: Eukaryota; Metazoa; Arthropoda; Insecta; Diptera; Drosophilidae. The record is from RNAcentral.
UAAACAAAUGAUGACUUUAUACAAAACUGAAAUGUCUUUUUGGUCUAUUUUUGACCUUCUUGAUAUUACCUUGGGAUGGUCGCUCUGCGAGGCAUUUAUCUGAUG